This 116-nucleotide ribosomal RNA is filed under the name Macaca nemestrina (pig-tailed macaque). The record is from RNAcentral. Lineage: Eukaryota; Metazoa; Chordata; Mammalia; Primates; Cercopithecidae.
GUCUACAGCCAUACUACCCUGAGCCCACCCCACACAUCUGUUCUCGGAAGCUAGCCAGUGCCGGGUCUGGUUAGCACUUGGAUGGGAGACCCCCUGGAAUACGGGUGCUACAGGGU